This 22-nucleotide non-coding RNA is filed under the name Arabidopsis thaliana (thale cress). The record is from RNAcentral. Lineage: Eukaryota; Viridiplantae; Streptophyta; Magnoliopsida; Brassicales; Brassicaceae.
UGGAACUUUUCCGGGACAUGUC